RNAcentral lists this long non-coding RNA (1035 nucleotides) under Triticum aestivum (bread wheat). Its description in RNAcentral is "long non-coding RNA (TAES_LNC003743)". The record is from RNAcentral. Lineage: Eukaryota; Viridiplantae; Streptophyta; Magnoliopsida; Poales; Poaceae.
GUCGGUGGAGACCAUGGCGGUGGAGGCGGUGGAGGAGGUGCCGGAGCCGGCGCCGGCGGCCCCGUCGGGGCGGCCGGCGGUGGGGCCGAGGACGAAGGGGCGUCGGCGCCGGGUGACGGCGCCGUGGAACCUGGCGGAGCCGCCCACGCUGCCGCCGCCGCUCCCGGCGGCGCGGCGGUGCACGCACUGCGCGUCGGAGGUGACCCCGCAGUGGCGGCAGGGGCCGCUGGGCCCCCGCACGCUGUGCAACGCGUGCGGCGUGCGGUACAAGACGGGGCGGCUGCUCCCGGAGUACCGGCCGGCCAACAGCCCCACCUUCUCCCCGCUGCUGCACUCCAACUCCCACCGCCGCGUCAUGCAGAUUCGGCUCCGGAGCGAGAGCGAGGGCGAGGGCGAGGGCGCCUCCCCCGCCGUCCGCGCCAUCGCCAAGGCCCGCCGCGCCGAGCGCGCGGCGGCGCGCCUCGCUGCCAAGAAAGACGACGGCGCCCCGGCCCCUGCCCCUGCCCAGGCGGCGCUGCCGUAGGAGCGAGCAUCAUCGAUAGCCAAGCCAUGGAGCUGGUAGAUUAAAUUAGAGAUCCUAUCCGUGAUUAGCGUCGUCGUCGGCUCCUUCAUCCGUGAUUUUCGUGUCGAAUUUCCAUUUUGUCAUGUCAUAGGGACUGCACUUUUAGGAUUAGGGGUUUAAGAGCAGCCAGCAAUCAAUCUAGCUGCUCCCAUGGGUCAGUCUAUCAGUCAGUCAGUCAGCCUCUUCCGGUCGUCAGUCGUCUUAGUCGAGUUCGUCGAGUCAAGCUAGCGGAAGCGAGAAACUUAUUAGAAGAGCAGGCAGGCAGGCAGGCAUCACCAUCCCGUGCAACUCUGCUGCUGCUGCUCAUGGUGGCCGAUACCUGAUAAACCAUUGCAUAUUUGCGUGUCUUGAAAUGGAACACUCGCUUGUCAUGUUCAUCAGUUGAUGUGUGUAUGUUCUGCUGUCUGUUUUGCCUUCAGCGUAGCAUGAUUUCGACAGCUCUAUUUUCUUUCAGUAUCCAAGUUACUCUACAU